UGGUACCCCUAAAGGCCUAGCUAAUUUCACCUGCCUUAAGGUAGUCUCCUAUAACCACAGCUCUUUCGGGUUUCACAGUGAGUGCCUCAUUAAGGAGAGCAAAUGCUGACAUGGGUACGAAACUCCCAGCAAACAAUUUAAAACCAGCAACUAUCUCACAAGAACUAUGUCACAGACACCUGACCAACGUUUCUAUAUAUAAACCUGUAAAUAACCCUGUGAUUUGCAUCGGCAUUAAAAAAUACAGUAAUUUUCUUACGUACGUGUGUAUAUAAACACAAUAAACUUUCAGACUGCUGAUAUCUGAGUGAUUAUAGCUUUGAGUUUCUUCCUCUAGAUGGCGGCAGCUGAAAGUAUUGUUUUCCAGGGGACGUGUAUUUACAUGCACAUUCUUAGUUGAUCACCUUGUUUACUGAAUUUGCUCACCUGUGGUUUAUAAGUAGUAAGUCUUCUUUUAGUAAAUACACCUCCACCUUUUGGUAAACCCUGUCAAUAAAAAAAAGUCUUUCCUACUUAGGAGUAACAGGUAACAAUCAUAAUCCCUUACUAUUCAGCAUUAAACUGAUUGUUUUACAUCAUUUAUUCAAUCCAUAAACAGGUGCUCUAAUUAAAAUCCAGAAAACAAAAUCAUAUACAGUUUAUUUAAAAGAUUAAUAGAAUGAAUAUAAAAAAGUGAAACACAGUACAGACCGAUUGACAUAUUAGUUUGUAUUUAAAAUUAUUAAACAUAAUUUAUUUAACCUUACUAAUGUGGAAAUGCCAUUGGUUUGGUUGCUUUGUUACCCUUAGUUUUAAGGGUACAAAAUGGAAUAAACAUAGCUAAGGUGUUGAAAUCAGAUGUUUUGAAUGCAGUGCGCACAAUGUGGAUAUGGCAAUGAGAGAGGCUGUUGGUAUGGACAGUGCUACAAGCUAUAUGGAGGUAGCAGUAAGAGAGGCUGGGCCGCUACCAUACAGAAAGUAUUCUGCUCACACUGAGUCUUCAGGUAUGUGCCAGUUGUUUGACAAAUCGGACCUGCAUACAGACCUGAGAAGGAACAACCUCGUCUCAAGAAAGUAGAGGUGGGGUUCUUUUUGAGUCAAUAAGGACAGUCCAACAGUCUGAUGGAAGCUGAAAUGGACACAUACAGAAAAUAAAUUUCUAUUCUAUUCUAGUGACUAUCUGUUCUCUUGCUAAAAUACUCAAUUGUACUCGCUGCUCUCCUCUCUGGCGAAAGCUUACAUUUUAAUUUCAGCAACCUCAAGUACACUGAGUAGUUCUAGGGAUAAAUGGGGCUUGUAACAGUACUGUCCAACAGUUGAUGAGUGUAGGCAACCAGCAACCAAAAGGGUUAAACACACACAAACACAACAGAAGAAUGCAUCUCAAAGUAUUUAAUGUGCACAAUGAGCUGUUUUUUUUUAACGCCACAUGGUCAGGCAACAGAAAAGAAAGCACAUGACACAGUACAUAGAACAGUAAACAGUCCUGAACAAAAACAAACAGAGGCUAGAUUGUGGUUAUUGACAAAGGAAAGAACAAAGCAAAACCAAAAACAAGCUUCCCUAAAGUUAAGCAUUAUAUAUCUAACUCUAACCCCUAACCCUAACCCUAGGGGCAGUGGUAGCUCAGUGGUUAAGCACGUUGGUCUUUUCACCAGAAGGUCAGUGGCUCAAGGGCCACUGCUGGGCCCCUGAGCAAGGCCCUUAACCCUCAACUGCUCAAAUGUAUAAGUGAGAUGAAUGUAAGCCGCUCUGGAUAAGGGCAUCUGGCAAAUGCCGUAAGUGGUGCUCGAAAAUGUCAACCAAACAACCAAACUCUCCCACCAAAGUGCCUCCAGCCAAACUUUCCACAGUGUGAUGAUUGGCAGUGUGAUGAGAAGCAGCGUACAGGCACACAUCAUAUCAGGCAUUCAUUGACCUGCACACACCUGGAAAACAAGCAGAGCAUACCUACCUGCUCUUGCAUUCAACACUAUUAAUAUUAGCUAUUGCUAGCCAUAUACUUGUAGCUAUAUUAUAAAGGGGGAAUCUCUCUAUCCUUGCUUAGGCAUGUACAGUAGGCUGCGAUAUAUUUUCUAACUAAUAUGAUGAAUCAGUUUAGUGUACUCAUCCAUUUAUUCAUUCAUUUUCAGAAAGUCCUUCAUCGUGGUCAGGGUCACAGCGGAUCUGUCCUGGGAACACUGGAAAUAACUGAAUGCACCAUGGAAAUAAUAAUUAUGGCAAUUGAGACUUGACUGCAAAUGUUUUAUGUGCAAAUUUAGUACCACAGCCGCUAGUAUAACAGUUACUUACUCUAGUUAUUGUGGGCAUUAAAUCUGAAUAAUUAACAAACAGCUGAAAGUCGUAAGAAACAUACUUUAAUAAUUCAGUACAUUUGCAUUCUAAUUCACAGUUAUAAAGAAAAAAAAGAAUCUGAUUUGGUGUAAAUUAAUGUCAUUUAUAUAUUCCAAAAAGGUUUUCUUUUUACAUUUUAGCCACAGUUCAGAAAUCUAUUUACAAAACAGAGUGCCAAUAUAUAAUUUAGGUUACAGGCUUGACUUCAUGUUCAGCCAAUUAAGGAUGGUUUCAUAUUUUACCCACACACACACAUACACACACACACACUUGUGACUUUCAACACACAUUUAUACUUAAUUUAUACUGUGUGAAGUGACGAAGUGGAGACUCAUUGCGCUGAGAAGCACAGCCAACACUGAGUGAGAGAGGAGAAAUGUACAAUGUCAUCAAGAGCGAUGUAUAUACACUAUAUAUAUAUAUAUAUA
Long non-coding RNA from Ictalurus punctatus (channel catfish), 2741 nucleotides. NCBI's taxonomy places the organism in Eukaryota, Metazoa, Chordata, Actinopteri, Siluriformes, Ictaluridae. The record is from Ensembl.